GACGAACGCUGGCGGCGUGCUUAACACAUGCAAGUCGAACGGAAAGGCCCUGCUUGCAGGGUACUCGAGUGGCGAACGGGUGAGUAACACGUGGGUGAUCUGCCCUGCACUUCGGGAUAAGCUUGGGAAACUGGGUCUAAUACCGGAUAGGAACCAUCUUUAGUGUGGUGGUUGGAAAGUUUUUUCGGUGUAGGAUGAGCUCGCGGCCUAUCAGCUUGUUGGUGGGGUAAUGGCCUACCAGGGCGGCGACGGGUAGCCGGCCUGAGAGGGUGUACGGCCACAUUGGGACUGAGAUACGGCCCAGAGUCCUACGGGAGGCAGCAGUGGGGAAUAUUGCACAAUGGGCGCAAGCCUGAUGCAGCGACGCCGCGUGGGGGAUGAAGGCCUUCGGGUUGUAAACUCCUGUCGCUAGGGACGAAGCUUUGUUGUGACGGUACCUAGAUAAGAAGCACCGGCUAACUACGUG
RNAcentral lists this ribosomal RNA (466 nucleotides) under uncultured bacterium. RNAcentral's name for it is "partial 16S ribosomal RNA". It matches the Rfam family "Bacterial small subunit ribosomal RNA", at positions 28 to 507 of the family's 1533-position model. The record is from RNAcentral.